Non-coding RNA from Oryctolagus cuniculus (rabbit), 6021 nucleotides. The record is from RefSeq and is a predicted model, not a curated record. Lineage: Eukaryota; Metazoa; Chordata; Mammalia; Lagomorpha; Leporidae.
AACUGACUUCGCCCCCUCCCCCAUUCUGCCUCCACCUCUCGGGGCGCGGAUGGUGCUGAAUCAUGAGCGCGGACAGCAGCAGCAGCUCUCCGUCCGUUGCUCCCGGAGGGGACACUGUCCCCAGGGCAGCGGCUGCGGCCUCCGGAACGUGGGAACGGUGGAAGGAGGUUGCGGGGGGGAGGAGGGAGAGGGCGGGAUGGCGGCAGCAGGUACUCACUGGGGGUGAGGGCAGCCAGCCCAGGUCCUCACCUUCCCGCCACGGGCCGUCCCUCGGCAGUUCCCGCGCUCCCCGGCUUGCCCGCGGGCGGCUCCCCAGGGCCCGGGCAACCUGCGCUGGUGGUCCGGCGAUGCCCUCCGCCUGCCCACCGCCCGCGGCAGCCACGGCUCGGGGCUCCUACGCUCGACCAGGAGCAGCUGGAGCAGCUGUCGCUGCCCUAGGGGGUGGUGGCUACCGACGGGCCAGACCAUUCGCCCGCUGCGGCCGGGGGUGCGCAACGAGCGGGGAGGCGCGAGCGGCGAGCGCCGGGGGCUGGCGGCGGUUGGGAGGCACCACGGGCGAGGGGGUCUUCUGCCCGCGCAGAGCCAGGAGCGCUCGGGGCCACGAGGUACCCACCGAGGAGCCGCUUGCUCGUCCCGGUGACCGACUGAAGCCGGCGCUCGGGCUUCUCCGGGCACCCCCAUUCGCGUUCGCCUUGGUCUGGCUCUGGGCUCCUCCCGAACGCGGCCAACAGAGGACCUAGCAACGGGAGUGCUUGGGCGGGGUCCCUCCCGAGGGGAUGCGAGGGGCGCUGCCCGCCGGCCUGCGCCGCGCCGCCGCCAUCUCCUCGUCUUCCGCCGGGCCCAGGACACCGGUUCCCGGUGCACGUCCGACGGCACAACCAAGCCGGACGUCCCCAUUGCUUGGAGGAGCGCCUCAGAUCUGUUAACCUCAGCAUCCCUGUGAAGCAAAGAAUGAAGGAGUAUCCAAGGCGGGCUUGAAAGUUAGCAAAUAAAAUCAGGUGGGGCCCCCACCCUGUAGGCACUUCGCAAAUAAGAGAGGAGGGACAGUGGGAAUCCCAGAGUUGCUGUCAAGCAAAUGUUGAGUCACUGCAGGUGCAAAGUGCAGAUGGAGGAAACCCUUUUCAGCAUACAGAACUCUGCAAGGUUAUGGAAGAAAGUCAAGGAUGUUUGAGAUUAAUACCUUGCUUGGAAGGCAAUCGUGUCCUUAGAUAAACUUUAUAGACCUGGAGGGUCUUUCUUUAGAAAAUACGUGAUAUGGCAAAAUUAGAGUGAGGGAAAGAUAGAGUCCGAGUGGUUGCAACGGUCGGGGCUGGUCCAGGCCAAAGCCAGGAACCUGAAACUCCAUCUGGGUAUCCCACAUGGGUGGCAGGGGCCAAAGGACUUGGGCCAUCAUCCACUGCUUUCCCUGGCACAUCAGAGCUGGAUGGGGAGUGGAGCAGCUGGGACUAGAACAGGUGAUCAUAUGGGAUGCUGGACACUUUUUUUGUCCCCGCCCCUGGAACAGCCGGGAUUUCCAAUUUCAUCCCCUCAUUUAUGCUUAUUAAAAACUCCUGUGCAAUUGAUAAUAUUGCUCCCAUUACCUAAACAGAGAAACUGUGUUCUGAGUUUGUUGUGUUAGGUUCAAGUCCCAUAGAUUGUAAGUGAAAGAGUGGGUAUUGCUUCCUGGAGUCUUUGACUAGGGCCAUUCCACUAGAAUGCCUCUGAGAAAGGUGCACAUUAAACCUUAUUGCAUAUAUGAUUGGCAUUUGAAUGUGAGUUUAACUUAGCUUUAGAAAAACAGGGUUUCACAAUAAAGAGAGGGGAUUCUUAAGUAUCUAAGGCAGAUAUUACCCUGAGGUAGGAAUAGGCAUUAGGAAGAGUCUGGGCUUCACUAAUCUGCAAAUCAGAACUGCAGAAUUGCAGUUAGAGUAUGAGCAUUUUAAACCCGUGAUUAACACACCUGUGUCCACUUCAAAGUGCCUGGGUUCAGUUUGUGGCUCCAGCCCCUGACUCCACCUCUCUGCUAAUGCAGACCCUGGGUGGCAGCAGGUGAUGGCUCAAGUAAUUGGGUUCCUGCCUCCCACCUGGGAGACCUGGUUUGGGUUCCUGGCUAUGACUCCAGCCCAAUCGCUGCCAUUGUGGGCAUUUGGGGAGUGAAUCGGUAUUCAUUUUGUCUCCUCCUCCACUUCCCUCUAACAUAACAUUUGUUUUUAAAAAAUGGGCACAGCAUUGUGGUGCAGCAUUUUAAGCUACUGCCUUUGACACCAGCAUCCCAUAUGAUCACCUGUUCUAGUCCCAGCUAUAUAUAAAUAAUUCUUAUUUGAAAAGCAAGAUUGAAACAUGUUGUUGGGGUCUUGUGAAGGUAAGGAGGGGUUAUUGCCCUCUGGUUAUUGACUUUUAUACUGUCAUUUGCUCGGUGUAAUACUUCACACUUACACUGUCACUAAUAACAUUUUACUUUCUCAGUCUUCCAAUUCUUGGUAGUAGCAAGUUUUUUUUUAAUAUUUUGUAAAGAUUUAUUUAUUUAUUUAUUUGAGAGGCAGAGUUACAGACAGAGGGAGAGACAGAGAGAAAGGUCUUCCAUCCACUGGUUCACUCCCCAAAUGGCCACAAUGCCUGGAGCUGGGUGGAUCCAAAGCCAGGAGCCAGGAUCUUCUUCCAAGUCUCCCACAUGGGUGCAGGGGUCCAAGCAGUUGGGCCAUCUUCUAGGCAGUAGCAAGUUUUUUAAUGGACCUCAUGUCACGUUUCCUCUUCUUACCUUACCAGAAUUUAUAGAAAAACUAUCAGGGAUAGUAACAAUUCUCACACCACCUCAAGAGAGCUUUUGAGAAAUUAGGAAUAAAAUUAUGUGGUGUCCCUAUGCUAUGCCCCCGUUAACUGCUAUUAUAAACAUUUACACAUGAGUACAAGCACAACAGAUAUGCCCAGAGCUCCAUGUUGUGAGGAGCCAGAGUACUGGGUCCCCAGAGAAGCCAGGCAGCUGCAACUCAGAGCCAGAGUGCACUGAGCCUCAUCAGUGUUUGAGCCUUCUCCUCGUGUGCAGUUAUUUCACUUUCAAAGGCAAACAUAACAGGAAUAGAACAAGAAUGGACGAGGUGCCUUUGCACUAGUACUUUUUCUUUUCUUUUUCUUUUUUUUUUUUUUUUUUUUGUUUUUUGUUUUUUGACAGGCAGAGUGAACAGUGAGAGAGAGAGAGAGACAGAGAGAAAGGUCUUCCUUUGCCGUUGGUUCACCCUCCAAUGGCCACCGCGGCCGGCGCACUGCCGCCAUCGCGCCGCCCUGAUCCGAUGGCAGGAGCCAGGUGCUUCUCCUGGUCUCCCAUGGGGUGCAGGGCCCAAGCACUUGGGCCAUCCUCCACUGCACUCCUGGGCCACAGCAGAGAGCUGGCCUGGAAGAGGGGCAACCGGGACAGAAUCCGGCGCCCCAACCGGGACUCGAACCCCGUGUGCCGGUGCCGCAAGGUGGAGGAUUAGCCUAGAGAGCCGCGGCGCCGGCCGAGCACUAGUACUUUUUCUAAGAUGCUAGAUGAUAAGGCUGUAGGAAAGAGGGAAAAAUCGUGGGUGGUCCACAUAAGACCCUAGGGAAAUUUAGAAUUUGUCCUUCUUGGACCUGAUGGGCUGAUGUUCUCUCUCUCCAUCAGUUGACAUCCUUGGAGUGUAUAUUUCCAAAUCAAGGAGGAAGUGGAAUUCUCAUGCUAGGAAACUGUCCAAAGGAACAGAGGAAUUGAGGGAAGCGGAAUGGCUGCAUCCUCUGUUCUCCCCCAGUCUUUGAAUGAUUUUGAGCCCCCUGAGGAUGGAUUGGUGGGGUCAGAAGCUGAGGAGUCAUUUGAAAAGUCACAGAUGACUAAGAAGUACACUUUGAGCCUCCUGACAAAGUCCAGCACAGAGCUGGAGAGAGAGCCAUUGUCUCCCUAGUUUGCCAGGGAUCACUGCACAGCAGGGAGCUGCUUUCCCGGCAAGAGCAUAUUCUCAUGAAGCACACUGCUGGCCAAUACAAGGUCAAGGUAACUUGACCAGAACCCCAGAGCAGUAGAGAAGGAGUGGAAUUGUUCCUGAGCAGCUGAGCGAUAAAACUGAAGAUUUUCUUCAUGAAUGAGGGAGCCUUGGUGUGGGAAGAUAAAUGUUACAUAAGACUAUUGUUGAGGCUGGCACUGUGGAGCAGUAUGUAAAGCCACAGUCUGCAACACUGGUAUUCCAUUUGAGUGCCUUAAGUCCCAGCAGCUCUACUUCCAGUCCAGAUCCCUGCUAAUGCAUCUGGAAAAGCAUGAGAGGAUGGCCCAAGGUCUCAGGCUCCUGCCACCCACACAGGAGACCCAGAGGGAGGUUUGGCCCCCAGCUUCUGCCUGGUCCAUCCCAGGUUUUUGAAGCCAUUUGGAAAGUGAACCGCAGAUGGAACAUCUCUCUCUCUGUCUCUCUGUAACUCUACCUUUCAAAUAAAUAAAUCUUUAAAAAAAAAAAAUUGUUGUUAAACCUUAUUUAUACACUGCCAUUAAAGUGAAUUCAAUCAUAUUCACAAACCAGCUUGACCUGGGACAUUCAAAAGGUAUUGUUUUUUAGAUGAUACUAGUAAGAAGAGAGGGAGAGAGAAAAUACUUACUGCCUUUGAUAAAUCUUCAGUGUGCAUCACACAGUGUUAAACCUUGAUUCAAAAAUUUUUAAAUUUUUAUUAAUUUUAUAUAUACUUUACUUAAGAGGCAGAGAGAAAGAGACACGGGAAGGGAAUAGAUUCAUUCCCCAAAUGCCUGCAACAGCUGAGUGUAGGCCAAGCCAAAGCAGGAGCCAGGAACUUAAUCUGGGUCUUCCACAUAUGUGGCAGGGUCUCAGUUACUUGAGCCACCACCUGCUGCCUCCUGGGGUGUGCAUUAGCAGGAAGUUGGAAUCAGGAAACAUAGCUGGGAUUCGAACCCGGGCACUAUUAUAUGCAAUGAAGGCAUCCCAACAAUUAACCACUAGGCCAAAUGCCUGCCCCUUGAUUCAAGAAUAUUCAUAAAGUUCCUAGUAUGUAUUAACUCCCAUUAAGGCAUCUGAUACAUAUCCCCAAUUAUUCCUGCUGAAGAAAGUAUUUAAUAAUGUCAUUCUUGUUUGCUGUUAACCAGCACCUAUUAAGCUGUUGGUGUAUUUGAGAUAAGUACUAUCACCAUGUGAAGUAAGUACUACUUCAUCCCUAUUUUAUAGAUGAAGAAGCUAAGAGUUACAAUGGUUAAUAAUUUGACGAAGGCCAGAAAGAGGCAAAGGGAUGUUUCAAACCCAAACGUAUGAUGUUUCUCUCCACAUAAUUUUACUGUUCCCUGAUACACAGAAAACAAGAUGAUUCUAGGAAGAAGGGAGCCAAGGCUCCUUGUUCCUAAGCCUUCAUUUCCUCAUCUGGAAACUAGAAAUAAUAAAACCUAAUCUUAAUGAGGAUCAAGAUUGUUUCUGCCACACAGUGAUUGCAGGUAAUCUGAUGCUUUGCCUUUUACUCUUUGAGUGACCUUGACCAAGUGACUGCAUUUCUUUGGCAUUUUAUUUUAAACAUUUAUAAAAUGGUGCUAAUAUCUAUUUCUCUUAUGUAUGUUUGUUGUGAGGGUCAGAUAAGAUAAUGAUACAUGAAAAAUUUUUUAUAAAGUACUAGAAAAUAUGAAGUGAGCAUUUGGUUUAAUAACUAAAACACUCUUUGGAACAACUGCAUCCCAUAUCAGAGUGCCUGGGUUCAAUUCUCAGGUCUGAUUUUAGUUCUAGCUUCUGGCUAAUGCACACCCUGGGAGGCAGCAGUUAAUGGCUUGAAUAUUUGGGCCCCCGCCACGGAAAUGUGAGGUGAGAACUGAGUUCCUAGCUCUUGGCUUCACCUAAGCCCACCCCUAGCUGUUGUGGGCAUUUGGAGUUGAACCAACUAAUGGGAGCUGUCUCUCUGCUUUUCAAAUGAAUACAUUUAAUUAACUCAUUCAUUCAUUAAUUAAAAAUAAAUUAUUGAAAAAAGGAUAAUUAUUUCUUAAAGCUACCACUGAUAGAAUUUUCCCUGCUACAUAGUCUUACAUGUUCUGAGGUUAGCCAAAAUAUUAUAUGG